This 301-nucleotide ribosomal RNA is filed under the name uncultured bacterium. RNAcentral describes it as "partial 16S ribosomal RNA". It matches the Rfam family "Bacterial small subunit ribosomal RNA", at positions 509 to 809 of the family's 1533-position model. The record is from RNAcentral.
CAGUCGCCGCGGUAAUACGAAGGGUGCAAGCGUUAUCCGGAAUUAUUGGGCGUAAAGAGCUCGUAGGCGGUUUGUCGCGUCUGCCGUGAAAGUCCGGGGCUCAACCCCGGAUCUGCGGUGGGUACGGGCAGACUAGAGUGAUGUAGGGGAGACUGGAAUUCCUGGUGUAGCGGUGAAAUGCGCAGAUAUCAGGAGGAACACCGAUGGCGAAGGCAGGUCUCUGGGCAUUAACUGACGCUGAGGAGCGAAAGCAUGGGGAGCGAACAGGAUUAGAUACCCGCGUAGUCCCUGUCUCUUAUAU